CAGUCGCCACGGUAAUACGAAGGGUGCAAGCGUUAAUCGGAAUUACUGGGCGUAAAGCGUGCGUAGGCGGUGAGUUAAGUCUGCUGUGAAAUCCCCGGGCUCAACCUGGGAAUGGCAAUGGAUACUGGCAAGCUAGAGUGUGUCAGAGGAUGGUGGAAUUCCCGGUGUAGCGGUGAAAUGCGUAGAGAUCGGGAGGAACAUCAGUGGCGAAGGCGGCCAUCUGGGACAACACUGACGCUGAGGCACGAAAGCGUGGGGAGCAAACAGGAUUAGAUACCCCAGUAGUCCCUGUCUCUUAUAC
Molecule: ribosomal RNA, 301 nt
Filed under: uncultured bacterium
Lineage: Bacteria
Description: partial 16S ribosomal RNA
Rfam family: Bacterial small subunit ribosomal RNA
Source: RNAcentral